This 325-nucleotide unclassified non-coding RNA is filed under the name soil metagenome. Its description in RNAcentral is "partial contains 5.8S ribosomal RNA, internal transcribed spacer 2, and large subunit ribosomal RNA". The stretch from base 1 to 120 matches the Rfam family "5.8S ribosomal RNA", at positions 35 to 154 of the family's 154-position model. The record is from RNAcentral.
GAUGAAGAACGCAGCGAAAUGCGAUAAGUAAUGUGAAUUGCAGAAUUCAGUGAAUCAUCGAAUCUUUGAACGCACAUUGCGCCCCUUGGUAUUCCGAGGGGCAUGCCUGUUCGAGCGUCAUUAUAACCCCUCAAGCUCAGCUUGGUGUUGGGGCCUGCUGCACUGGCAGCCCUUAAAAUCAGUGGCGGCGCCAUCUGGCUCUAAGCGUAGUAAUUCUUCUCGCUAUGGAGUCCUGGUGGAUGCUUGCCAUCAACCCCCAAUUUUUCUAUGGUUGACCUCGGAUCAGGUAGGGAUACCCGCUGAACUUAAGCAUAUCAGCGGAGGA